UCUAGGAACUGUUUGAUGGUGUAGAUCUCUAAGGUAUCAGAUUGUUUCAAGUUGAGGAAGGCAUGGAAGGCAUGAGUUGACGUCAUUUUCUCAGGGUGAUGAACAUCAGGAUCAUAACGUUUUUGAGACUUUAACUCUUAGUUUCCACUGCAAAUUACAAUACUAAGGUGUAGAUUGUGUGAAGAUUCUGUCUCAGUGGAAUGAACCUGAUACUUGUGGAUAUUAAGAUUGUUUCAGAGGUUGUAGCUUGUUUAACAUAAGCAUGGAAGAGUGAAGCGAAGAAGAUCAACAUUGCAACAUCAAAGGAGGGAAGCGUAUUUUUUUUACGGGAUUGAAAAAUUGCAGAAAUCAGUUACGAGAUAGGAUCUUCGAGACAACGAUUGGAGUCCUAAAAGUAAUCUGAUCGAGCUGAAACUUGGUAGUGAGCUUCUUGCUAUUACUGUCUUGAGUGUCAACGGUGGGAUUAAUUUUUUGACGGUUGGAUUGCGUUUUAUUCGACCGUAUUCAAUCUGUUCCGGGCACAUGUCAACUGAAGUUUCAGAUCUGACCAGUUAUAGUGGAGACAUCAAAUGGUCGACCAAUUAAACUUGGAAUGAAAUGAAAAUUUGCAAAGAUAUUCUAGACUUACGGAGCUAGAUUCUGGUAGGAGGGCAUUGGAUUCGGAGUCCGAGGACAGAGUAGAAUGAUGGCGGUUCAGAGUAGUUAUUUCGGAGACUCUAAAGCUGUGUCUUGCAAAGGUGACUUGCAAAUGAUUCUAGAAGAGAUUGUUUCAGCUUACUGUGCCAAAGAAGUGAAUUAACAAGUUACUGUAAGUCCUUGUUCGGCAGUUUACUCUUGGGAAGUCUUCAGCUUCUGUGUAUUUUAGAAUUAUGGACAACUUGCUAGGAGUCUACUCUUUGUUAAGGCUCUAGGAUUCUAGAGAAGAAUUGUUGGUGAAUGUGGAAAUAUAACAAAGGAGUUUCAGGAAUCUGCAGUUUUCUUGUUUUCAAGUUGAAGAUUUUUGGAAUGAAGCUUAUGAAGUGUCAAGAAAGAGAAUCUUUCCAUUAUAAGUGACAGAGCACAAAAUUUAUGAAGCCCUCAUUUGAUUUAAAAGAAUCACAUGGCUGACGGAGUUAGGCUUUCAUCAUCAAAGCGAUAACAUGGCUUCAUUGUCUGAGUUUGAUC
Molecule: long non-coding RNA, 1164 nt
Filed under: Arabidopsis lyrata
Lineage: Eukaryota; Viridiplantae; Streptophyta; Magnoliopsida; Brassicales; Brassicaceae
Description: long non-coding RNA (ALYR_LNC002535)
Source: RNAcentral